AUAAUCUUAAUAAAUUUAGUGUUAGAUCGACUUUCAUUGGGUUUGGUUUCCCUCAUAACCUUCCCUCACAUGUCGUCUCUCACUCAACCAUAGACUGUCCCAUACAGUUUUUUGGUCCUUCGAGCCGGAUAUGAACCAGCGACCUAUGGAUUACUUUCUACAAGACAACAGUCUUUCUUCGAGGAUUCACACAGACAGGACCAUACAGUUUUUUUGUCCUUCGAGAAUACAGCCUUGCUGCUGACAAGCUGCGCAGUCAUUCUGAACCUGCAAGCUACAAGACAACAGUCUUACUUCGAGGAUACAUACAGUCGUUUUGAUCCUUCGAGAAAAAUAAAUAAAUAAAUAUUUCUUCGAGAAAUCACUCAAGAAAACAGUCAAUCAAGACUAUAAACUCUACGGAUUUCCAUCGACAUUUGGAGAAUCCAGAUACAGUGGCCACAACACUCACGUGGAAUUUGUGUGACUGCGAAUCGGUUGACUGGCUUCCCAGAAGCGGGUUCCACCAGUUAAAUUGAGAAGGCGCAAACAAGGUCGCACUAUCCACUGAGAGACUGGCCUGGACCUCUGAAGACGGUCCUAUCAAUUAUACAUCAACGUCAGCAUUAAAAAAUGAUGAAAAUGGAGGGAUCACUUCAAAUUUCAAAUGCCACUAAGACCUCAACGACGGAUCGAGGUCAGGCAACAGAAUUGAUGUCACUCCAAAGAACAAACUUCCGAGCUUUUCAUCGACAAAUAAAUCGCUUGAAAGUAGAUGAAAUCCAAGACAAAUGGGAGCUGGAAGACGAGUUACGCAACAU
Molecule: unclassified non-coding RNA, 800 nt
Filed under: Melitaea cinxia (Glanville fritillary)
Lineage: Eukaryota; Metazoa; Arthropoda; Insecta; Lepidoptera; Nymphalidae
Description: misc RNA ENSMCXG00005010697.1
Source: RNAcentral